This 73-nucleotide transfer RNA is filed under the name Cordylochernes scorpioides. RNAcentral's name for it is "tRNA-Thr". It matches the Rfam family "tRNA". From Rfam's summary of the family: Transfer RNA (tRNA) molecules are approximately 80 nucleotides in length. Their secondary structure includes four short double-helical elements and three loops (D, anti-codon, and T loops). The record is from RNAcentral. Lineage: Eukaryota; Metazoa; Arthropoda; Arachnida; Pseudoscorpiones; Chernetidae.
UCUAGGGUAGCCUAGUGGACAUGGCAUCUGCCCGGUAAGCGGAACACAGUGGGUUUGAUUCCCAUCCCUGGAC